RNAcentral lists this ribosomal RNA (429 nucleotides) under Chloroflexota bacterium. RNAcentral describes it as "Chloroflexi bacterium partial 16S ribosomal RNA". It matches the Rfam family "Bacterial small subunit ribosomal RNA", at positions 355 to 776 of the family's 1533-position model. The record is from RNAcentral. Lineage: Bacteria; Bacillati; Chloroflexota.
UGGGGAAUAUUGCACAAUGGGCGCAAGCCUGAUGCAGCCAUGCCGCGCGUAUGAAGAAGGCCUUCGGGUUGUAAAGUACUUUCAGCGGGGAGGAAGGGAGUAAUGUUAAUACCUUUGCUCAUUGACGUUACCCGCAGAAGAAGCACCGGCUAACUCCGUGCCAGCAGCCGCGGUAAUACGGAGGGUGCAAGCGUUAAUCGGAAUUACUGGGCGUAAAGCGCACGCAGGCGGUUUGUUAAGUCAGAUGUGAAAUCCCCGGGCUCAACCUGAGAACUGCAUCUGAUACUGGAAAGCUUGAGUCUCGUAGAGGGGGGUAGAAUUCCAGGUGUAGCGGUGAAAUGCGUAGAGAUCUGGAGGAAUACCGGUGGCGAAGGCGGCCCCCUAGACGAAGACUGACGAUCAGGUGCGAAAGCGUGGGGAGCAAACAGG